GUCACGCUGCUGAUUUGGAUUAUAUUAAAACAAAUGAAUCCAUCUACGUCACCUUUCAUCGUGAACUACUGUGAAUUCAAAUCUGUUCCUUCAUGCACUUUUGGAUCUCGGUCACCUCCCGCUCCUGGGGGUUGAGGGGGAUAAGUCCACAUUCAUCAACUGGUGGAAGCGAAUUUAUGAAGACCUGGUUCUCUUGCCUCAAGGUCAAGAAUCCAGACAUGGCACAGAGGGGAAGCUCAUCAUUGCUCUACAAUGUCUGGACCCUCAAUUUGGAUGACUUGUACAUCUGGUGAAGAAAAUGGCCUGAGACUGGUUGGGUCUCUAUCUCCCUCCCACAUGGAGUCUCCAUGGGGCUAGCUUCGGCUUCCUCACACCAUGGCGACCUUAGGGUAGUCAAUUUCUCAAAUGAUGGUUCAGAGCUUCAAGAGGAAGGAAGCAAAAAAUGCCAGUCCUCUUAAAGGCUAGAUCUGGAAGUGAGAGAGCAUCACUCCUGCCACGCUUUAUUGGUCAAAGCCAUCACAGUUCAUCCAAGAUUCAGCAGAGGGAAGAUAGACCUUACCUUUCAGUGAAAGAACUGUCAAAGAAUUAGUGGCCAUUUUUAAUUCAGCACAUUUGACGUGCACAAAAUGCGGCUGAAUGGAUCAUUCAUCAGAAAUAACAGGUGGCUUUCUAAACUCAUCAGCAGUUUUGCUCUAAUAUAGAUACAGCCUUAUUUCUAAAAUAGUUCCAUGCUGUCCCUCCCCAUUUUCUUUCUUACAAGAUCAAAUUUUUAACUUGAGAUUUUUGAGUUUUACUCACAAAACUUUAUUCUCUUCUUCCUACUUCCCGAGAGAAAGCCUCAAUUUGUUAGGCUCACCUACAACUCCUUCCCAGGUGCAAAAGGCCUGUCCCUGUUUCAUUGUCAACUCCCCUCUCUUUCAAAGCCUCUGAUCACUCUGUUUCCUUCAACAGAGUGUUUUGGUGAUUGAGUGCAAGUGAAUGGAAACAGAAAUGCAACAGAUUUCCGUACACUGAUUUUAUAUCCUGUGAGUUUGCUGAAUUCGUGUAUCAGUUCUAGUAAUUUUUGGAGUCUUUCAG
This is a long non-coding RNA of Ailuropoda melanoleuca (giant panda), 1077 nucleotides long. RefSeq lists it as uncharacterized. Lineage: Eukaryota; Metazoa; Chordata; Mammalia; Carnivora; Ursidae. The record is from RefSeq and is a predicted model, not a curated record. The transcript is spliced from 3 exons.